AGAGUUUGAUCAUGGCUCAGAAUGAACGUUGGCGGCGUGGAUUAGGCAUGCAAGUCGAACGAGAUCUGUAGCAAUACAGUGAAAGUGGCGAAAGGGAGAGUAAUACGUAGGUACCUGCCCUCGGGUCUGGGAUAGCUGCGGGAAACUGCAAUUAAUACCGGAUGACGUCUCUGGACCAAAGGUGUGAUUCCGCCAGGGGAUGGGCCUGCGUCCUAUCAGCUAGUUGGUGUGGUAAUGGCGCACCAAGGCAAAGACGGGUACGGGGUGUGAGAGCAUGCCCCCGCUCACUGGGACUGAGAUACUGCCCAGACACCUACGGGUGGCUGCAGUCGAGAAUCUUCCGCAAUGGGCGCAAGCCUGACGGAGCGACGCCGCGUGUGGGAUGAAGGCCUUCGGGUUGUAAACCACUGUCAGUGGGGAGCAAGUGCAUCAGGGUUCUCCCUGGUGUUGAGCGAUCCGCAGAGAG
RNAcentral lists this ribosomal RNA (466 nucleotides) under uncultured Pirellula sp. RNAcentral describes it as "bacterial SSU rRNA". It matches the Rfam family "Bacterial small subunit ribosomal RNA", at positions 8 to 488 of the family's 1533-position model. The record is from RNAcentral. Lineage: Bacteria; Pseudomonadati; Planctomycetota; Planctomycetia; Pirellulales; Pirellulaceae.